AUCAACUUUCGAUUGGUAGGAUAGAGGCCUACCAUGGUGGUAACGGGUAACGGGGUGUUAGGGCACGACACCGGAGAGGGAGCCUGAGAAACGGCUACCACAUCCAAGGAUGGCAGCAGGCGCGCAAAUUACCCAAUCCCGACACGGGGAGGUAGUGACAAUAAAUAACAAUACGGGGUUCUUUCGGAUCUCGUAAUUGGAAUGAGUACAAUUUAAAUCUCUUAACGAGGAACAAUUGGAGGGCAAGUCUGGUGCCAGCAGCCGCGGUAAUUCCAGCUCCAAUAGCGUAUAUUAAAGUUGUUGCAGUUAAAAAGCUCGUAGUUGAAUUUCGGGGUCAAUAAGUUGGUCGUGCCAAUGGUAUGUACUGGCUUUAUUGAUUACUACCUCUUGACGAACUGUGAUGCCAUUAAUUUGGUGUUGCAGGAAAUCAGGACUGUUACCUUGAAAAAAUUAGAGUGUUUAAAGCAGGCUUACGCUUGAAUACAUUAGCAUGGAAUAAUGAAAUAGGACGUUUGAACCUAUUUUGUUGGUUUCUAGGAUCGACGUAAUGAUUAAUAGGGAUAGUUGGGGGCAUUAGUAUUCAAUUGUCAGAGGUGAAAUUCUUUGGAUUUAUUGAAGACUAACUACUGCGAAAGCAUUUGCCAAGGAUGUUUUUCAUUAAUCAAGAACGAAAGUUAGGGGAUCGAAGGCGAUCAUAUACCGUCGUAGUCUUUAACC
RNAcentral lists this ribosomal RNA (717 nucleotides) under uncultured Glomus. RNAcentral's name for it is "SSU rRNA". It matches the Rfam family "Eukaryotic small subunit ribosomal RNA", at positions 314 to 1031 of the family's 1831-position model. Lineage: Eukaryota; Fungi; Glomeromycota; Glomeromycetes; Glomerales; Glomeraceae. The record is from RNAcentral.